This 290-nucleotide ribosomal RNA is filed under the name uncultured bacterium. RNAcentral describes it as "partial 16S ribosomal RNA". It matches the Rfam family "Bacterial small subunit ribosomal RNA", at positions 335 to 616 of the family's 1533-position model. The record is from RNAcentral.
ACUCCUACGGGAGGCAGCAGUGGGGAAUAUUGCACAAUGGGCGCAAGCCUGAUGCAGCCAUGCCGCGUGUAUGAAGAAGGCCUUCGGGUUGUAAAGUACUUUCAGCAGUGAGGAAGGUGGGUAUGUUAAUAGCAUAUUCAUUUGACGUAGCUGCAGAAAGAAGCACCGGGCUAACUCCGUGCCAGCAGCCGCGGUAAUACGGAGGGUGCGAGCGUUAAUCGGAAUUACUGGGCGUAAAGCGCAUGCAGGUGGUUUGUUAAGUCAGAUGUGAAAGCCCGGGCUCAAGCCUC